UAUAUGUAUCCCGCAGUUACAUUAUUCCUUAUAUAUGUUACCAUUUAUAUUUUGUUUUGAACCGUUUAUUUUAAACCAUUUAUUUUAAACAAACCGCAGUUAAACCGUAUCGCAUUAUGCAUUCCACUUGACCUCAUCGCUCAACCCGUUUUUACCAUUCGGAGCUUUAUUUAUUUAAUUUUAACAAAAACAAAAGCAACAAAAAUUUGGCUGAUUGGUGAACAGUUUUUUGUCCUGCAGUGCGUUCUCCUCGGACCACUAUAAACAUUCACAACCGUUCUCCUCGGACCACUAUAAACAUUCAAAACAUUAUUUCGCUUUAGGGAAUCAGUGUACCAUGUCUUAGCUUUAUUGGCAAUGUUACCGUUGUAGUGUUAUUCUGACAUGAGUAUCAUGAUGAUAAUCCUUUUCCUUCGGUAUGUU
Molecule: long non-coding RNA, 423 nt
Filed under: Brassica napus (rape)
Lineage: Eukaryota; Viridiplantae; Streptophyta; Magnoliopsida; Brassicales; Brassicaceae
Description: long non-coding RNA (BNAP_LNC009665)
Source: RNAcentral